CCCCAGCGCCACGAGUGGUUAUCACGAUUAUUGGGCCUAAAGCGUUCGUAGCCGGUUUGGUGCAUCUCUUGUGAAAUUGUUCGGCUUAACCGGACAGCGUGCAGGAGACACGGCCAAACUCGAUACCGGGAGGGGUUAGAAGUAUUCCAUGGGGACUGGUAAAAUGGGAUAAUCCAUGGAAGACUACCGAUGGCGAAGGCAUCUAACCAGAACGGAUCUGACGGUGAGGAACGAAAGCCAGGGGAGCGAACCGG
This 254-nucleotide ribosomal RNA is filed under the name uncultured bacterium. RNAcentral's name for it is "partial 16S ribosomal RNA". It matches the Rfam family "Archaeal small subunit ribosomal RNA", at positions 474 to 727 of the family's 1478-position model. The record is from RNAcentral.